UAUACUUCAUUUUCUUUAGUACGAAAGGAUCAAGAAAAUAGGACCAAUCUUAAAAAGAAGUCCUCACAAUAACUGAAUAAAAAUAAAGUUCACAACAUAAUUACAACCCAAGACAUGGGUUA
RNAcentral lists this ribosomal RNA (122 nucleotides) under Heloderma suspectum (Gila monster). Its description in RNAcentral is "partial 16S ribosomal RNA". The record is from RNAcentral. Lineage: Eukaryota; Metazoa; Chordata; Lepidosauria; Squamata; Helodermatidae.